AAUCUAUAGAGUCGUUUUCCGUGCCGGACUGUGUCCAAGUCCCUUGGAACAGGGUAUCAAAGAGGGUGAUAAUCCCGUACUUGACACAAUGACCGGUGCUCUGUGAUACGUCUUCUACGAGUCGAGUUGUUUGGGAAUGCAGCUCAAAAUGGGUGGUGAGUUCCAUCUAAAGCUAAAUAUUGGCGAGAGACCGAUAGCGAACAAGUACCGUGAGGGAAAGAUGAAAAGCACUUUGGAAAGAGAGUUAAACAGUACGUGAAAUUGUUAAAAGGGAAACGAUUGAAGUCAGUCGUGACUGAGAGGCUCAGCCGGUUCUGCCGGUGUAUUCCCCUCAGUCGGGUCAACAUCAGUUUUGUUCGGUGGAUAAGGGCAGUUGGAAGGUGGCACCCUCGGGUGUGUUAUAGCCAGCUGUCGCAUACAUCGGAUGAGACUGAGGAAUGCAGCUCGCCUUUAUGGCCGGGGUUCGCCCACGUUCGAGCUUAGGAUGUUGACAUAAUGGCUUUAAACGACCCGUCUUGAAA
RNAcentral lists this ribosomal RNA (521 nucleotides) under Papiliotrema flavescens. RNAcentral's name for it is "eukaryotic LSU rRNA". It matches the Rfam family "Eukaryotic large subunit ribosomal RNA", at positions 147 to 659 of the family's 3401-position model. Lineage: Eukaryota; Fungi; Basidiomycota; Tremellomycetes; Tremellales; Rhynchogastremaceae. The record is from RNAcentral.